UGGCAGUGCUCAGUUAUUAGUUUAGGCUGAAGUCUGACGUAAUGCAGAAUUCAGUAACUAGUUCACACACCUUUGGGACAGCCAAUGUAGCAAAUUUAAGAAAUGUACAAACUAAAGAGUGACUCAUCAUUAUCAGACUUGUGUACGGGGACAUGUUGGCUCACGUAUCAAGAUAUCCUCUUAGGAUGCCAAUGAGGAUGCUGCCCGGAAGUCGUGGAGGACAGCCUACACACCAAGAUCGCUUUAUUUUACAAGGAGCGGCUGUCCUUGUUGGCUUGGGCCUCUGCAUCUCCUCAUUCUCUCUAAAAAAACUAUCAGCCAUGCCACACAAACCAAGACGUCUUAUUUAAGGAUUGGAAUAUGAUAUGUUGACUAUUUGUAAAGGCCAGCAUUGGCACAUUUUACAAAAAAGUGAAGCAUUAAU
Long non-coding RNA from Homarus americanus (American lobster), 424 nucleotides. RefSeq lists it as uncharacterized. The transcript has 3 exons. The record is from RefSeq and is a predicted model, not a curated record. Lineage: Eukaryota; Metazoa; Arthropoda; Malacostraca; Decapoda; Nephropidae.